GAUGAACGCUGGCGGCGUGCCUAAUACAUGCAAGUCGAGCGAACAGACGAGGAGCUUGCUCCUCUGACGUUAGCGGCGGACGGGUGAGUAACACGUGGAUAACCUACCUAUAAGACUGGGAUAACUUCGGGAAACCGGAGCUAAUACCGGAUAAUAUAUUGAACCGUAUGGUUCAAUAGUGAAAGACGGUAUUGCUGUCACUUAUAGAUGGAUCCCCGCCGCAUUAGCUAGUUGGUAAGGUAACGGCUUACCAAGGCAACGAUGCGUAGCCGACCUGAGAGGGUGAUCGGCCACACUGGAACUGGAACACGGUCCAAAUUCCUACGGGAGGCGGCGGAAGGGAAUCUUCCGCAUUGGGCGAAAGCCUGACGGAGCAACGCCGGGUGAGUGAUGAAGUUCUUCGGUUCUUAAAACUCGGUUAUUAGGGAAGAACAAAUGUGUAAGUAACUAUGCACGUCUUGACGGUACCUAAUCAGAAAGCCACGGCUAACUACGUG
RNAcentral lists this ribosomal RNA (497 nucleotides) under uncultured bacterium. Its description in RNAcentral is "partial 16S ribosomal RNA". It matches the Rfam family "Bacterial small subunit ribosomal RNA", at positions 28 to 507 of the family's 1533-position model. The record is from RNAcentral.